Molecule: ribosomal RNA, 467 nt
Filed under: uncultured bacterium
Lineage: Bacteria
Description: partial 16S ribosomal RNA
Rfam family: Bacterial small subunit ribosomal RNA
Source: RNAcentral
AUGAACGCUGGCGGCGUGCUUAACCCAUGCAAGUCGAACGGAAAGGCCGAAGCUUGCUUCGGUACUCGAGUGGCGAACGGGUGAGUAACACGUGGGUGAUCUGCCCUGUACUUCGGGAUAAGCUUGGGAAACUGGGUCUAAUACCGGUAAUGACGAUCUCUUGGAUGGGGUUGUGGAAAGCUUUUGCGGUAUGGGAUGAGCUCGCGGCCUAUCAGCUUGUUGGUGGGGUAAUGGCCUACCAAGGCGUCGACGGGUAGCCGGCCUGAGAGGGUGUACGGCCACAUUGGGACUGAGAUACGGCCCAGACUCCGACGGGAGGCAGUAGUGGGGAAUAUUGCACAAUGGGCGCAAGCCUGAUGCAGCGACGCCGCGUGGGGGAUGACGGCCUUCGGGUUGUAAACUCCUUUCGCAAUCGACGAAGCCUUUUGGUGACGGUAGGUUGAGAAGAAGCACCGGCUAACUACGUG